RNAcentral lists this microRNA precursor (126 nucleotides) under Dipodomys ordii (Ord's kangaroo rat). Its description in RNAcentral is "microRNA 486 (ENSDORG00000020275.2)". The stretch from base 31 to 98 matches the Rfam family "mir-486 microRNA precursor family". Lineage: Eukaryota; Metazoa; Chordata; Mammalia; Rodentia; Heteromyidae. The record is from RNAcentral.
CAUCCAGCUGUGAUCUCUACCCUCCCUGAGGGAUCCUGUACUGAGCUGCCCUGAGGCUCUUCUUUGUGUCCAACUCGGGGCAACUCAGUACAGGAUGCAUCGGGGUGGGAGUCAGCAGGGAGCCAG